This is a long non-coding RNA of Oncorhynchus nerka (sockeye salmon), 2452 nucleotides long. RefSeq lists it as uncharacterized. NCBI's taxonomy places the organism in Eukaryota, Metazoa, Chordata, Actinopteri, Salmoniformes, Salmonidae. The transcript is spliced from 2 exons. The record is from RefSeq and is a predicted model, not a curated record.
UGUGUGUGUGUGUGUGUGUGUGUGUGUGUGUGUGUGUGUGUGUGUGUGUGUGUGUGUGUGUGUGUGUGUGUGUGUGUGUGUGUGUGUGUGUGUGUGUGUGUGUGUGUGUGUGUGUGUGUGUGUGUGUGUGUGUGUGAACUCAGGUAGUGGUAAUGUGAAAGCCUCAGUGUUACCAGUUGGCACCAUUGUGGGUCGUGUUACUGGUACUGGUAUAUUACUCCUAGUUGCUGUGUUACUUGGUGUUGGAUACAUCAAACAUACCAGAAGACAGAAAAUCCCUAAAGAACAAAGUCCACUAGAAGAGGUCAUUGUUCCAAGAGCAGUGAAGACUUCACCAGGGAGAGAAGAACCACAGCCCUCUCCUGACCAGAACCACAGCCCUCUCCUGACCAGAACCACAGCCCUCUCCUGACCAGAACCACAGCACUCUCCUGACCAGAACCACAGCACUCUCCUUACCAGAACCACAACCCUCUCCUGUCCAGAACCACGGCACUCUCCUGACCAGAACCACACCCCUCUCCUGUCCAGAACCACACCACUCUCCUGUCCAGAACCACACCACUCUCCUGUCCAGAACCACACCACUCUCCUGACCAGAACCACAGCACUCUCCUUACCAGAACCACAGCCCUCUCCUGUCCAGAACCACGGCACUCUCCUGACCAGAACCACACCCCUCUCCUGUCCAGAACCACACCACUCUCCUGUCCAGAACCACACCACUCUCCUGUCCAGAACCACACCACUCUCCUGACCAGAACCACAGCACUCUCCUGUCCAGAACCACACCACUCUCCUGUCCAGAACCACACCACUCUCCUGACCAGAACCACACCACUCUCCUGACCAGAACCACACCACUCUCCUGUCCAGAACCACACCACUCUCCAGAGAUACAGACAGUCUACUUCACUGAGAAGAACCAGCACCAGCAGAACACCUCCAAGUUGAAACAGGAAGCGCUUCUCCAGACAUUAGACCAAAAUAACAGAAAAUAACUGCCUCUGAACUGCAUCAUCUCAUUGAGUCAGUGAGUUACAUCAGUUCUUGACCUUGUACAGAAACCACGGGACAUUGCACCACCUAGUGGACAUCAAUAAUACCAGCAGAGUAAACCUCAUGGCUUCAUUCAUCAACAUGUUGGGAAGUUGUUUUAGACCAAGAUAUUUAUAUGUUCUAGUAUGUGUUAUUACAAUACCACAAAGCCCACGUUUUUCCAGAUUUGUCCAAUCCUAAAUGAACCCCUGGCUCAGGUUUACACCACAUUGAUUGUAGGAUCAGAUAGGUGUACCAGUCAGCAGUAAAAUGCUAUUAGUUCCACCUACCCAUCAAUGUUGUGUAUAUGAGAGGGCAGACUUGACCUCAUUAGGCCACCGUAGAUGGAUUCUUUAACACAUUUUAUCUGUCAAGCCAUCAAAGUCAUACGUCUUUUUUAAAGAAUUUGUUCCUAACUGACCUGCCAAGUUAAAUAAAUGUUCAAUAAAACAAAUAGAUAUAUCAGUCAUCUUUUUAACUGGGACACACAAGUAUUUAUAAUCUCUCUAACCAUAACCUGCUACUUUUUACACUGCCUUGUCCUUCCUCUGAGUUUGGAAGACACUGGCAGCUACACUACAUGACCAAAAGUAUGUGGACAUCUGGUGUUCAAACAUCUCAUUCCAAAAUCAUGGGCAUUAACAUGGAGUUGGUCCUCCCUUUGCUGCUUUAACAGUCUCCUCUCUUCUGGGAAGACUUUCCACUAGAUGUUGGAACAUUGCUGAGGGGACUAGCUUUUUCCAUUCAGCCACAAGAGCAUUAGUGAGGUCAGGCACUGUUGAGCGAUUAGGCCUGGCUCGCAGUUGAUUAGGCCUGGCUCGCAGGUGUUCGAUGGGGUUGAGGUCAGGGUUCUCUGCAGGCCAGUCAUGUUCUUCCACCUAUCUCGUCAAACCAUUUCUGUAUGCUUUGUUUACGGGGGCAUUUUCAUGCUGAAACAGGAAACAGCUUUGCUUUAUCUUGGCCAGGUCACAAUUGUAAAUGAGAACUUGUUCUCAACUUGCCUACCUGGUUAAAUAACGGUUAAAUAAAUAAAAUACAACUGUAGUCUCUAGACCACUCAUGAAUGUAGGUACAGUGCCUUGCGAAAGUAUUCGGCCCCCUUGAACUUUGCGACCUUUUGCCACAUUUCAGGCUUCAAACAUAAAGAUAUAAAACUGUAUUUUUUUGUGAUGAAUCAACAACAAGUGGGACACAAUCAUGAAGUGGAACGACAUUUUAUUGGAUAUUUCAAUUUUUUUUAACAAAUCAAAAACUGAAAAAUUGGGCGUGCAAAAUUAUUAUUAUCACCAUAAUGGCCAUUAACAAGAUCAAGAGAUGGAUAUCCUCAAAAGAAGAUGACUCAACUCAGGUACUUCCUGUGAAAUGAAUGUAUUAGUUAGGAUUGCUAGCUUUAUUAAAUUAUGAUUUGAAUGUU